UUUAAUGUAGUGUGAAUAUUAUGCACGUUACAUUUUGGUUGUAAAGGAGAUUAGUUAUCCGUUAAUU
RNAcentral lists this transfer RNA (67 nucleotides) under Moniezia benedeni. RNAcentral describes it as "tRNA-Gln". Lineage: Eukaryota; Metazoa; Platyhelminthes; Cestoda; Cyclophyllidea; Anoplocephalidae. The record is from RNAcentral.